ACUGAACUGCGGCGGCUUCGCUGGGGUGGCUGGCAUCGCCGCGAACCGGGGUUCCAGGAGCCGCCGGGGCGGCCGCAGGUAACCUUCCACAGGCCCACACAUGUGUUAUCAGCCAUACCUUAGGACAGAAGGAAUGAGUUUGCAGAAAGGAUGCUCUUCAGAACUCAUGAAGACAUAAGGUGCUUCAAAAGAGGAGACUUUCGGAACAUGAGCAGGGAAAUUGUCACUUGAUAGAUGACAAGCAUUGUGAGAAACAACAGUUUGCCUUUCUUCAUUCCCUUCCUGGUUAUCUUUCCUGUCACAUGAAGAAGAAAUGAAACACCAGAGAGAAUCAGGUUAUCAUCAUCUACACCAGCCACUGUCACUGGCCUUCAAAGUUCAACCUCCCUGGAACUCCAGAACUCCCCACUUUAUAAGAUGAAUGGCUAAUUGGAUCCUAGUACAUAAGGAAACACUGGCAAAAUAGCGCCCUACAACCAUACUGAGAAUUUAGCCCUGGGGACAUCUUCCGAUAUAAUCUGGCAUAGAAGAGUGGUUAUCACACCUUUAGCAUGGAUAGAAAUGCAAAACAAUAUUUGUAAUAGUCUGUGCUCACGCUGCUAUAAGGACAUACCCAAGACUAGGUUCCUAUAAAGUUCCUGAUAGUUGAAGAAAGUCAGGAGAUCUUAGAAACUGACUUUCAUUUAUAACCUGCUGAUUCACCUAGAUCAGGUUACUGGGAAGAAAUCCAAGUCAGACCUCCUGACCUACUCGAAACAGCAUGAGGAAUUUUGGAAAUACAUCUGGUGCUUCCAGUGACUGUAUAAUAAUCAAUGUAUCCUGACUCUAAAGAAAAGCAGAAGUGAAACUGAAAGUACAGACUACAAGGUGGAAUAUGAUCCCUCUACUAUCAACUAAAAGUCUUAGACUUGCUACCCUUCUGAAAAUGGUUCUGAAGGGGCCCAGGAAGAAACCUCCUCUUCCCCAGCUGAGUUGAGAACCAAGUGGAAGACAAAGAAGUUAGACAGCAGAUGAAAAAGUGACCUGCCUUGCACCUUGCCAGUUGGCUUGCUAGCUCUCCCCUGAUUUGAACUUCUGACAACAGAACAUGCUCCACCAAACUUACCAUGUGAAGGACAGCACAUGGGCAUUCUUUCUGAGACCUGCAAAGAAAACAAAGGGAGAGGCUAAGCAGACAAAGGAAAACUCUUUCUUCUCAAAUCAAUCAGAUAAUGAACUCCUGUUCCCUUUAGGAGAAAUGAGUGGGUGGGGAGAGAAAAGCAAGCAGUUGACCUCUGGAGGUCCUUAGACUUAAAAACAUAAAGCCCAAGGAAGAAAAUUCCUCCCCAGCAUUAACUUGGACCAGUAAUGUUUUUCUAUUUAUAUUCCAUAUGUAAAUAUGCCUGUGAGGUAUUAUGUAUUGUCUUUGUGCCUUUAAGUGCAUUUCUUUAAAAAAUCUGUAACUUUAAACUUAAAUAGAAAGGCACAAAAUGGAUUGUUAUUUUAUACAAUGGAGUUCUGAUAUUAAUUAUUGUUACUUCUCACAAAACAAGUACUAAAGAUUUCUUAGUUUUGGCUAAAAUAGUAUUGUGAAUUGUGGCUGAGUGGUGUGCUCUUUUUGAAUUUCCCAAUUUUAGCUCAUUCACUUCUCUAUAUGGCCCUCUAUUCCUUUAAAAAAAUUUUAAUAGCUUAAUUAAGAUAUGAUUUAUAUACAAUUCACUAAAGUGUAC
Molecule: long non-coding RNA, 1709 nt
Organism: Homo sapiens (human)
Lineage: Eukaryota; Metazoa; Chordata; Mammalia; Primates; Hominidae
Source: Ensembl